GACGAACGCUGGCGGCGUGCCUAAUACAUGCAAGUCGAACGCAUUUUCUUUCACCGUAGCUUGCUACACCGACAGAAAAUGAGUGGCGAACGGGUGAGUAACACGUGGGUAACCUGCCCAUCAGCGGGGGAUAACACUUGGAAACAGGUGCUAAUACCGCAUAAUUCCAUUUACUGCAUGGUAGAUGGAUGAAAGGCGCUUUUGCGUCACUGAUGGAUGGACCCGCGGUGCAUUAGCUAGUUGGUGGGGUAACGGCCUACCAAGGCUGCGAUGCAUAGCCGACCUGAGAGGGUGAGCGGCCACACUGGGACUGAGACACGGCCCAGACUCCUACGGGAGGCAGCAGUAGGGAAUCUUCGGCAAUGGACGCAAGUCUGACCGAGCAACGCCGCGUGAGUGAAGAAGGGUGUCGGAUCGUAAAACUCUGUUGUUAGAAAAGAACAAGGAUGAGAGUGGAAAGUUCAUCCCUUGACGGUAUCUAACCAGAAAGCCACGGCUAACUACGUG
This 507-nucleotide ribosomal RNA is filed under the name uncultured bacterium. RNAcentral describes it as "partial 16S ribosomal RNA". It matches the Rfam family "Bacterial small subunit ribosomal RNA", at positions 28 to 507 of the family's 1533-position model. The record is from RNAcentral.